AACGAACGCUGGCGGCGCGUCUUAAGCAUGCAAGUCGAGCGGCAAGGGCAGCAAUGCCCCUAGAGCGGCGGACUGGUGAGUAACACGUGGGUGAUCUACCUCUGGGAUGGGGAUAGCUUGUGGAAACACAGGAUAAUACCGAAUACGCUUGCCUUAUCGAGAUUUGGCAAGGAAAGGCCCGUUUGGGCCGCCCGGAGAUGAGCCUGCGGCUGAUUAGCUUGUUGGCGGGUAACGGCCCACCAAGGCGAUGAUCAGUAGCCGGCCUGAGAGGGUGAACGGCCACAUUGGGACUGAGAUACGGCCCAAACUCCUACGGGUGGCAG
RNAcentral lists this ribosomal RNA (323 nucleotides) under uncultured Spirochaetota bacterium. RNAcentral describes it as "bacterial SSU rRNA". It matches the Rfam family "Bacterial small subunit ribosomal RNA", at positions 29 to 351 of the family's 1533-position model. The record is from RNAcentral. Lineage: Bacteria; Pseudomonadati; Spirochaetota.